UAGAUAAGACAGGCCUCAAGUUUACAAGUGAAUGUGAUUCAAGGCAUGGAAAUAGUAUUUGAAUAGAUGCCCUGUAUUUAAACUCUCCUGCAGCCUGCGCCGUCGUCGCCUCCCACCGCGCAUCUCUUGAAAAAGACGAGAUGAACUAGUCAGACCAGUCCCAGACCAGAAAUGGCAGCCGACCGGACCGGCAGGAGAUUUGAGAAAAAAGACGACGUUCAUUCAUCGGAUUUGUCUCCGGAUUAUGUUUGUAACAUCCCGAAGAGACAUGUGCGGGUCACCGUGAAGUACAACAGGAAAGAGCUGCAGAAACGGCUGGACGUGGAGAAGUGGAUCGAAGACAGCCUGGACCAGCUGUACCUGGGUCAGGAAGGUGACAUGCCAGAUGAGGUGAACAUUGAUGACUUGAUUGACCUGCCUAAUGACGAGGAGCGAGUCAAAAGCUUACAGAAGCUGCUUCAAAAUUGCAAGAACAACACACUGACCUUCAUCAGAGAGCUGGUGGGAAAGCUGGAAGGAGUUCACAAGGAGAAAGAGCUACAGACUGAAGGCGUCGAGCAUCCGGUCGUCUGCCACAGCCACUACCGCCAUGAGCCCUACCAGUUCAACCACCCACACCAACACUUGCAACACACCAGAGGCCAAAACCAGACCCUGUGAAAACCCCUCCAACCAAGGCACACACACACACACACACACACACACACACACACACACACACACACACACACACACACACACACACACACACACACACACACACUUCUGACACUAACUGAUGAAGUCGGAUAGAAUACACAGUUUCUAAUUUUAAAAUAACAUCCUGAUAUGCAUCCAACAUCACAGACAGAUCACCCAGGGGUGGAUGUUAAGACUUCACUAUCUGAGUCACAGUUGCAGUACUUUCCACCUUCCACCAAACACGUGUCCGAAACACAUUUUAGCCGCACCACUUUUAAAAUUUUUUCUAAAACUGCUAGAUUAGAUGCUCUUAUUUAACAUCUGUUAAAUUAUGAUGUUAUUUAUUGUCAUGGUUACAGGAAAUUCAGGUGGAUUCAGCAUAGCAGCAUGAUGUAACACUGGAAAUAAUCCUGUUGCAUUUCUUACACACAGUAGCUUCUUUUUAAUAUCUCACUCUCAUUCAACACCUCCUUUUGUUUUUCGAGAUGUAUUGUUAAUACAUUUUCUACUUUCCUGCAAAGAGACACCAGCUCUCUGCAGGAAUUGCUAAUAAAAUAAUUUCUUUCAAUGUG
This is an RNA transcript of Larimichthys crocea (large yellow croaker), 1253 nucleotides long. It is a transcript of the gene named protein phosphatase 1, regulatory (inhibitor) subunit 14Aa, with no coding region annotated. Lineage: Eukaryota; Metazoa; Chordata; Actinopteri; Sciaenidae. The record is from RefSeq and is a predicted model, not a curated record. The transcript has 5 exons.